RNAcentral lists this ribosomal RNA (636 nucleotides) under uncultured Bacilli bacterium. RNAcentral's name for it is "bacterial SSU rRNA". It matches the Rfam family "Bacterial small subunit ribosomal RNA", at positions 79 to 702 of the family's 1533-position model. Lineage: Bacteria; Bacillati; Bacillota; Bacilli. The record is from RNAcentral.
CUUGCUUCUCUGGAUGAGUUGCGAACGGGUGAGUAACGCGUAGGUAACCUGCCUGGUAGCGGGGGAUAACUAUUGGAAACGAUAGCUAAUACCGCAUAAGAGUAGAUGUUGCAUGACAUUUGCUUAAAAGGUGCAAUUGCAUCACUACCAGAUGGACCUGCGUUGUAUUAGCUAGUUGGUGGGGUAACGGCUCACCAAGGCGACGAUACAUAGCCGACCUGAGAGGGUGAUCGGCCACACUGGGACUGAGACACGGCCCAGACUCCUACGGGAGGCAGCAGUAGGGAAUCUUCGGCAAUGGACGGAAGUCUGACCGAGCAACGCCGCGUGAGUGAAGAAGGUUUUCGGAUCGUAAAGCUCUGUUGUAAGAGAAGAACGAGUGUGAGAGUGGAAAGUUCACACUGUGACGGUAUCUUACCAGAAAGGGACGGCUAACUACGUGCCAGCAGCCGCGGUAAUACGUAGGUCCCGAGCGUUGUCCGGAUUUAUUGGGCGUAAAGCGAGCGCAGGCGGUUAGAUAAGUCUGAAGUUAAAGGCUGUGGCUUAACCAUAGUACGCUUUGGAAACUGUUUAACUUGAGUGCAAGAGGGGAGAGUGGAAUUCCAUGUGUAGCGGUGAAAUGCGUAGAUAUAUGGA